CAGUAGCCGCGGGAAUACGUAGGGUGCAAGCGUUAAUCGGAAUUACUAGGCGUAAAGCGUGCGCAGGCGGUUAUAUAAGACAGAUGUGAAAUCCCCGGGCUCAACCUGGGAACUGCAUUUGUGACUGUAUAGCUAGAGUACGGCAGAGGGGGAUGGAAUUCCGCGUGUAGCAGUGAAAUGCGUAGAUAUGCGGAGGAACACCGAUGGCGAAGGCAAUCCCCUGGGCCUGUACUGACGCUCAUGCACGAAAGCGUGGGGAGCAAACAGGAUUAGAUACCCCUGUAGUCCCUGUCUCUUAUAC
This 301-nucleotide ribosomal RNA is filed under the name uncultured bacterium. Its description in RNAcentral is "partial 16S ribosomal RNA". It matches the Rfam family "Bacterial small subunit ribosomal RNA", at positions 509 to 807 of the family's 1533-position model. The record is from RNAcentral.